UUCUAAAAUAUUAAAACACUAUUUGCAGUAUUCCCCAAAAUAAUGUUCUUACACAUGGAUAUUUUCCUCAGACUAACCGGCUCUUGAUGAUGCAAGGUGUUUUAAAUAAAUCCUGCCAAUAGAUGGAAGCACAGCACAUGGCAUAAGCCCUUUACAAUGGGAGUGUAGUGGUGAACUAAGCAGCAGAUACUCACUAAACAAACCCUCCUCCCUCUUUACACUGAGCCUUUUUAUGAGCAAUCAACCAUUCUCCCAUCAGUGCUCAACUAUGUCUUCAACUAUUCUCCUCCUCAUCUGGUUUUCAUGUCAGGCGAGCGCAGUUAUAUUUCAGCAGUCUCCUCCACAGAUCGUGGAUAAGAAUCGAGAAAUUCAGAUAAACUGCAAGCAUAACGAUAGCUCCCUCAUAUUAAUGCUCUGGUAUCAGCAAAGAAAGGAGAAAGCAUCCAUGACCCUCAUUGGCUCUGGAUAUUAUCAACAGUCCCAAAGGCUAUGUCCACACGUACACGGGUAUUUUUGAAAACGGAGAUUUUCCGUUUUCGUUUUAAAAAAUAAUCCCGUCCACACGUAAAGGCAGAAAUGAAGGAAAACGCUGCUAGGAACAUGCCAAAGCAGCAGGUGGCGCUAUAUUCCUAACCGUGUAGAAAUGUUGGCCAAUCAGAAGUCUAGAAGCCUCGGUGGGAAAUAGUAAACAAAGCUGGGGCAUAGAAGCAGAACCGAGUCGUAUGUGUGGAGGGACAGUAACUGUGUGUGUAUAUGUAAGCAUUUAAACACUGCAGAGAGGACAAUUAACAGUAACAGUAUUGUAGAAAUUCAUUUCAUCGAAACAACAACGUGGCGCACACUGUGACGUCAAAAAAGGCGCACACCUUUGACGCUGCGUUUUCUCCGUUUUUCUCGUCCACACGUAAAUGCAAAAACGGAGUUUUAGAAAAUAUCCACCCUGGCCGGAGUUUUUAGAAAUCUCCGUUUUCACUGACCGAAAACGCCGUUUACGUGUGGACGAAAGGUGCAAACGCAUAGAAAAAUCUGCGUUUUCAAAAAUACCCGGGUACGUGUGGACAUAGCCAAAGUUAUGAGGGUCAAUUUACAGAACAAUUUAUUAUCGCAAGGAGCAGCACAGUAGAAGGAACUCUGACGAUAAAAAACACAGACGCGUCACACUCGGCUGUUUAUUUCUGCGCUGCUUUCACACAGUGAUGUGGUUUAAUGCUGCUCCCUCACUAAAAACCCUCAGCAUUUUUUUUGUAAGUGAGGCAUUAUAGAUGUGCACAUGAAGUCAUAUCCUUAGAAUUGCAGAACAAACCAAGGGGACAGAAUCUUUCCAUAUCUUAGUUAUUAUGUAUGCUGCUGUAUGUAAUGAAAUAAAGAGAAAAAGUUAACUUUGAUUAAUAAUUUUAGCUAAUAAUUACAAACACACUGCAGCAUAGCUUAUGUAUCUUUUGC
This 1443-nucleotide long non-coding RNA is filed under the name Oreochromis niloticus (Nile tilapia). Its description in RNAcentral is "lncRNA (ENSONIG00000031963.1)". The record is from RNAcentral. Lineage: Eukaryota; Metazoa; Chordata; Actinopteri; Cichliformes; Cichlidae.